Molecule: transfer RNA, 58 nt
Filed under: Oxyrrhis marina
Lineage: Eukaryota; Dinophyceae; Oxyrrhinales; Oxyrrhinaceae
Description: partial tRNA
Source: RNAcentral
GUGUGGCCCAAUGGUUGAGACGCCAGGCUAAUAACCUGAAGGUCUUUGCUUCGAACCC